This 606-nucleotide ribosomal RNA is filed under the name Escherichia coli. Its description in RNAcentral is "partial 23S ribosomal RNA". It matches the Rfam family "Bacterial large subunit ribosomal RNA", at positions 711 to 1314 of the family's 2925-position model. Lineage: Bacteria; Pseudomonadati; Pseudomonadota; Gammaproteobacteria; Enterobacterales; Enterobacteriaceae. The record is from RNAcentral.
AGACCCGAAACCCGGUGAUCUAGCCAUGGGCAGGUUGAAGGUUGGGUAACACUAACUGGAGGACCGAACCGACUAAUGUUGAAAAAUUAGCGGAUGACUUGUGGCUGGGGGUGAAAGGCCAAUCAAACCGGGAGAUAGCUGGUUCUCCCCGAAAGCUAUUUAGGUAGCGCCUCGUGAAUUCAUCUCCGGGGGUAGAGCACUGUUUCGGCAAGGGGGUCAUCCCGACUUACCAACCCGAUGCAAACUGCGAAUACCGGAGAAUGUUAUCACGGGAGACACACGGCGGGUGCUAACGUCCGUCGUGAAGAGGGAAACAACCCAGACCGCCAGCUAAGGUCCCAAAGUCAUGGUUAAGUGGGAAACGAUGUGGGAAGGCCCAGACAGCCAGGAUGUUGGCUUAGAAGCAGCCAUCAUUUAAAGAAAGCGUAAUAGCUCACUGGUCGAGUCGGCCUGCGCGGAAGAUGUAACGGGGCUAAACCAUGCACCGAAGCUGCGGCAGCGACACUGUGUGUUGUUGGGUAGGGGAGCGUUCUGUAAGCCUGUGAAGGUGUACUGUGAGGUAUGCUGGAGGUAUCAGAAGUGCGAAUGCUGACAUAAGUAACGAUA